This is a long non-coding RNA of Rhincodon typus (whale shark), 4031 nucleotides long. RefSeq lists it as uncharacterized. The transcript has 3 exons. The record is from RefSeq and is a predicted model, not a curated record. Lineage: Eukaryota; Metazoa; Chordata; Chondrichthyes; Orectolobiformes; Rhincodontidae.
UAAACGGCCCCGAAUAUUCAGCCUCGUGCGGCGGAGCCCGCCUCCGGCUAGGCGCAGGCGCAGUAAGGGCCUGGCCUAGCUCGGCUUGGUCUGGGCGUCGUGUCCGUCCAUCCCCGCCUCUUUCUGUUCGAAUCAACUUGCCCGAACUCUCUCGGGGAGGGGGCUUGUCUGCCGGAGGCAAUUUAAAGCCAACGGAAUGCUUCUUCGGAUGUAUUGCGCGGUGAAGAAGGACUUAGCAAAGAGGUGAGCAAAGAUUGUGAAAAAUUAAAGAUGCUGCCAGACCUGCUCAGUUUUUCCCAGCAUGUUCAGAAUAAUUUAGCUAUAUUCUUAAGACCUGUUUUCUUCAGUGCUAUAUUAUAUGAUUAGACCAGUUGUGUUCGUGCCACUUUAAGCUCAUGCGCAUUGUGCCACAUCACUGAUGUGUCCACUUGUCAAUGCAGACUUUUUUCUGCAUCUCUCAAAGCACAAGCAAAACAUUGUGUUGACAUGCCAAUCUAUUGGUACCUUUUUUCUCCGAGAAAUGAAAUAUGAAUUGUUGAGUAAAAGCUUUUUCAACCGAUCUCAUUUUAGCAAUAUUCUGCUUCUAGGUGUGUUUCAAAAUGUUUUUAACGUAGGGCCUUUGCAAUUUGAGAGAGAGAUGCCCAAGAAGGGCAGCAGGGAUGCAAAGGCCUGUGAAUUAGGAAUGGAACAAAUUUGUCUUUGGACAGUGUGAGACACCUGUCAGGACAGUCAUAUCAAACUGAUAGUUCUUUUUUUUUUUGUUUAUUGGCUAUCUCACGAAGAACAUUCAUUCAUGCGCACACCUUAAGUGGUAAGGGUCAGCGGGUGAUUAUGGGUGACAAUGUAGCCAAGCCUAAUUUUCUUUCUACCUCCUAUAUCUUCCAGGAGGGCUCAUUGGAACACAGUUGGAGGAUGGGUGGAAUAUAGCUGCCUUUCCAUUACCUUGUCUAGAGGUGGUAAGGCCAAUUGCAAUAUUCCAUCUGCUGACCUAGCUCAGAUUUGCCAAAUGAAAGAAACUGUUUUGAACUUUGUGGUCUGUUUGGUUUAGAUCUAGAAAUCACAAGACAGCUGUGAUGAGAAAAUCUAUUCAACCUAGUCACUGCAUCUAGUAAGGAUAGUACUGCACCUCCUCCACAAUAACACUCAAUGCUGAAGGGCCCCCCCAUCCCCCAAGAAUGUGUGUCCUCAGCCCCUCACUGUACUCCCUGUACACCUAUAACUGUGUUGUCAAAUUCUGAACGAACGCCACCCCAGUGAGAUGGAUAUCUAACAAUGACGAGUCAAAAUACAGAAGGGAGAGGAUUUGGUGACAUGGUGCAAUGAAAACAAUCUGACUCAACGUCGGCAAAACUAAAGAACUGAUUAUCGACUUCAGAAAGAAAGGAGGAGAACACACCCCCGUCUACACCAAUGGAACUGAUGUUGUGAGGGUGGAGAGCAUCAAGCUCCUCGGUGAUAACCGAUAGCCUGUCCUGGACUUCCCACGUAAAUGCGGCAGUCUCUGGUCAACUACUGCUGGCCUAGCCAUUAAAAAUUGAAUAUUAAAAAAUCAAUAUUUUUUAAAAAUACCAAAUUCAUUUCAACUUGCAGGUUUGUGGAUUGAAUCAUUGGAUGCACUAAGCGUCAGAUUUAUAACUUUAAACUUUAUCCCCGAAAAAAUUGUAAAGCAAUUUAGGUCACAACUUCCUUAAGUUCUUCUCUGUUCUCAGUCUGCUUUUUAAUCAGUCUGUUUAGUUGUAUUAAGACACAGCUCUGGAGCAGGUGGGACUUGAACCUAGGCCUUCUGGUUCAGAGUUCAGGACACUAUUUCAGUGCCACAAGUGCCCUCAGCCCCUUCUCUCAUUAGAGUGAUGCCUGUGCUCUGUUCAGCACCUCCUUGUUCUAAUGUGACUGAGCUGGGGAGCUCAGCAGAAUGGGAUAUGGAUAUGUUCUGUAGAAGGGUCAUUGGACCUGAAAUAAUAGAACUGUAGAAAUGAUACAGCAAAGAAGGGGGCCAUUUGACUCAUCUUGUCCAUGAUGACGCAAAGAUAUCUAAAUGUCCUUUUCUAAUCCCACCUUCCUGCACGUGGCCCAUAGCCCUGCAGCUUGCAGUGCUUAAGGUGCAGAACCAGGUACAUUCUGAAAGGUGUUUCGGGUGACUGCCUCCACCACCGACUCAAGCAGUGGAUUUCAGACACCCAUCACCCUCUGCAUUUUUAAAAAAAAAAGUUACUUUUUCUUCACGUCCCUCUAAUCCUUCUGCCACCUAGCUUCAAUCAAUGACCCCUGAUUUCUGAACUCUCUGCUAAGGGAAAACCAUUUCCUCCUGUCUACUCUAUCUCCACCCCUCUCAGUUUUGUAUACCUUAAUCAUGUGACCCCUUCAGUCUUCUCUGUUCGAAAGAAAACAACCCUAAUCUUCCCUCAUACAGUUCUCCAGUCCUGGCAACAUUCAAGUAAAUUUCCUCUUCACACACUCGAGCAAUUUGUCCUUCUUAUUAUGCGGUGACCAGAACUGCACACGUUACACCAGUUGUGGCCUCACUGAUUUGUCUUAUACAGUUUCAACAUUCUGUCACCUCCUAUAUACUUCUGUCACUGAAGGAGAGCAUUUUGUAUGCUUUCUUUUAAAACCUUAUCAACCUGUACUGCUACCUUUAGGGACCACUUGCCUUCCACGAUCUCUCAGUUCAGCUACCCUUCUCAGUAUAUUCCAUUUUAUUGUGUAUUUCCUUUUUACUGUUUGACCUCCCUAAAUGCAUUACCUCACACUUAUCAGAGUUGAACUCCAUCUGCUACUUUCCUGUUUGCUCCACCAAGCAAUCGAUAUCGUUUUGGAGAUUACAGCUGUUGUCUGCACUUUCUGCUACACGGCCCAUUUUUGUGUUGUCUGCCCAUUUCCCAAUUGUGCCCCUAAGUUCAAGUCCAAAUCAUUAAUGUAUAAAACAAACUGCAGGGGUUGCAAUACAGAGCCCUGUGGUACAUCACUUGAAACAGCUUUGUAUUCGCAAGGGCAACCAUCAACCGUUCCCUUUUGUUUCCUGUUACUAAGCCAACUUUGGAUCCAAUUCAAUACAUUACCCUGUAUCCCAUGGGCUUUUACUUUUUUGAUCAGUCUGCUAUGUGAGACCUUGUCACAUACCUGACUAAAAUCCAUGUAUACAACAUCCACUGCACUAUCCUCAUCGAUCCUCCUCAUCAAUUUCUCAAAGAAUUCAAUCAGAUUUGUAAGGCAUGACCUUCUCUUAACAAAGCUAUGCUGACUGUCCGUGACUAGUCCAUACCUUACUAAGAAACGACUGCUUUCUCUUGACGGAUGCUACCAGACCUACUGAAUUUUUCUGCUAUACCUAUUUUGUUUCCAAUUUCAGCACCUGCGCAGUUUGUUUUUGUUGGGAUGUUGAUUUGGCUUGCCACAGUGCACUGGAGCAGCACAUAUUUGAUACAAAUGCUUUAUAUAUGCAAAGUAAAUGUCACAACAUUUUCUUAAAUCAUGAAUAAGGAACCCUCAAUGACAUCUGUUAAGUUUCAGAUGUUGAUUCAUAUGUUGUAAAUUCUGGCUGAACUGAAAUGGCUACUUAGUGAAAUUAAACCAAGGCUAAUGUAAAACUGGUUGUAAACAUAUAAACAAAUAUUCCAGAUACUUGCUUUUAAACAAAAUUGUGAUUUAUCCUGUAUACUUUGCUGAGUAGCUCAUACAUUCCAGAAACAUGAGAUGAGUCACUUUUAUCCUUGCCAAUAAUAAAUCAUGAACUACUUAACAUGCAGCUUGGAGAGAGCAAAUGAAUUAACUCUACUCUUCCCCUUAGCACUCUAGACAAGAGAAAAUCUGAUAUUUAUGCGGAUAUGCCAUACCAUACAUGUUUGCAUUCCUGUGCUUCUAAUCGAAAUCUGCAACUUUGGAAUUUUACAAACGCUCUGUGCAGGCAAAACAGUUGGAAGGAGGAGCUUAAAAGUAAAUGCUUUUAUAAAUUUUUCAUCUUGCAAAACAAUAAUUUGAAGCAGUAUUAAAAAACCAAGAGCUUGCUAUUUUCAAAAGCAAUUGUCAGUGAA